UAAGUAAGAUCAGUUAGAACAACUCCAACUCACAAAAAUACUCAUGAACUCAAAAUAUUUCGUUCAAUUAACUGCAAAAAAUGCGUCGCAAUCCGCAUUUUACAUAACACGCAUGCGCACUAAUGUUGCGCCAGGGUCACAUGACACACAAAGCCCGAUGAAGAAAUUGCCCGCCAUUUCGUCAAAAUUGGAACCACAAUGCUGUUAACAAGCAAGUACCUGGACACAGUUUAUUAGGAAACAUAGUUAAUUAAUAAACUAUUCUGUCUUACACGGCCAGUUACCAUAACCUUUUAUCCAUAUUUUAUAUUUAGUUCGUUGUGAUUAUUGGACAUAGAUUAGCAUCUUAGGUAGCUCUGGCUAGCCGUUGGUUGGAUUUUUUAUGAUGAUGUGAUAAUUUGGCUAACUUUUAACAUGCCGCGUUUUAUUUUUAGUAUAAGGUUAAGGGUAAGUGGAUACGCGUAUAUUAUAGCAAACUGAUCUCGCUUCAAGCGAAAAUCCGUUUCAAUCACUGGAGUGUUUUAACGUAAACUGCGUUCAAUCAUGCAUGUAUGUGUAGCAGAGAAGUUGUUAAAUCUUCAAUAUUUAUAUAGCUCAUAAAUCAUUUCACCAAUAACGGGAUAACUAUAAGGAAGAGAUUAUUUAACAAUCUUGUUUUGUUGAAGAUCCUAUUCAAUGUACGUAGGUUGUGCUUUUUUUUGUUCGCAUUAUUGGAAGCUCUUGUGAAUUUUGUUUUUUUGUCGCCAUGCUUACUUAAAACGGCAAGUUUUACCCUCUGAGGAGAGUGCCUUCUUGAAGAUUUCAUUCAGCACAAAGUACGGUAGCCUGAAAAGAGAAGACCGUCUACAAAGGCAAGGGCAAUAUCGUCAAAGAAUUCACCAGGCUGAUGUCUAUGGACCUCACUUUGUUCUAUGAGCGUUUGGACAGUCACCUGCUCAGACUUCUUCAGUUGUUGAGGUCAAAGCGCUUUGAGGGGAGUAAAGAAAUGACAUCCUUACUGGAGAGCCUUGACAAGGAUGUAUCAAACCAAAAGAAGAGGGCAACAGCUUUGCAUGGUCUACCGUGGUACAUGAAGGAAAAUCCAUCUGCAUUCAUGAAGAUGUGUGAGCCCACGGAUCCUGAGGAGGAUGUCAUCAGGGGAAUGCUCACUGGAAUACUCUUAGUUGCUGAGGAUGUGAAGGAGCCCCUUCCAGCUUCCUACAAUGAUAUUGCCAUUGUGGUUGAAGAAAUUAUUGUCAUUCGCCACUUGCGAGAUGUACCCAGUGCUUUUGUCAAUCUGAUGGGACUGCUGUACAUUCUGAACAUUGACUAUCCAAAAGACUUGAAGUACACUUUUGAAGUAAUUCAACGACUAUUCAUGGGAAUAGGGCUGGACGCAUGCACUGCCAGAGUCCACUCUCUGAAGAAUAAAUUGUUCAUUUAAUUAGAUAAUGCAAGCAUCUUCAUUGGUUAUGUUUUGAUUUUCUGUGUCUUGAUGUUCUUGCUGAUCUUUGAAGCAAAUGUGUCUAUAUACUUACUUAUAUUUACUUAUACACUUUAUGUAUUUCAGCCCUAUUCCCGUGAACAGAGGCAUUUUUGUAAUAUUUAAAGUAUCUCUUUAAUGUAUCAGCAAGACACUAUAUUAUUUUUAUUAUUAUUUUUUGGCAGCUGUACAAUUGACAUUUAAUAUUUUUUGUUGUGGCUGCUCUGUUCAGAGGAAAUGUGUCUCUGAGACACAAUUUUAUUUGGUUUUAAAGGAGCCUUGAACGGAGUUUACAUUUGAGCAGUACCUAUACUUUUGAUGUUAAGAUAGUUGACCAUGUGUCUUAGUUGACAUUUGUCUGCAGUUGAGAAUAAAUAUUCCAGA
Long non-coding RNA from Brienomyrus brachyistius, 1846 nucleotides. RefSeq lists it as uncharacterized. The record is from RefSeq and is a predicted model, not a curated record. Lineage: Eukaryota; Metazoa; Chordata; Actinopteri; Osteoglossiformes; Mormyridae. The transcript is spliced from 5 exons.